ACUCCUACGGGAGGCAGCAGUGGGGAAUUUUGGACAAUGGGCGAAAGCCUGAUCCAGCAAUGCCGCGUGAGUGAAGAAGGCCUUCGGGUUGUAAAGCUCUUUUGUCAGGGAAGAAACGGUGAAAGCUAAUAUCUUUUGCUAAUGACGGUACCUGAAGAAUAAGCACCGGCUAACUACGUGCCAGCAGCCGCGGUAAUACGUAGGGUGCAAGCGUUAAUCGGAAUUACUGGGCGUAAAGCGUGCGCAGGCGGUUUUGUAAGUCUGAUGUGAAAUCCCCGGGCUCAACCUGGGAAUUGCAUUGGAGACUGCAAGGCUAGAAUCUGGCAGAGGGGGGUAGAAUUCCACGUGUAGCAGUGAAAUGCGUAGAUAUGUGGAGGAACACCGAUGGCGAAGGCAGCCCCCUGGGUCAAGAUUGACGCUCAUGCACGAAAGCGUGGGGAGCAAACAGGAUUAGAAACCCUAGUAGUCCCAUG
This 473-nucleotide ribosomal RNA is filed under the name uncultured organism. RNAcentral's name for it is "partial 16S ribosomal RNA". It matches the Rfam family "Bacterial small subunit ribosomal RNA", at positions 335 to 799 of the family's 1533-position model. The record is from RNAcentral.